RNAcentral lists this ribosomal RNA (462 nucleotides) under uncultured bacterium. Its description in RNAcentral is "partial 16S ribosomal RNA". It matches the Rfam family "Bacterial small subunit ribosomal RNA", at positions 28 to 507 of the family's 1533-position model. The record is from RNAcentral.
GACGAACGCUGGCGGCGUGCUUAACACAUGCAAGUCGAACGGAAAGGCCCUUCGGGGUACUCGAGUGGCGAACGGGUGAGUAACACGUGGGUGAUCUGCCCUGCACUUUGGGAUAAGCCUGGGAAACUGGGUCUAAUACCGAAUAGGACCACGCGCUUCAUGGCGUGUGGUGGAAAGCUUUUGCGGUGUGGGAUGGGCCCGCGGCCUAUCAGCUUGUUGGUGGGGUAAUGGCCUACCAAGGCGACGACGGGUAGCCGGCCUGGGAGGGUGACCGGCCACACUGGGACUGAGAUACGGCCCAGACUCCUACGGGAGGCAGCAGUGGGGAAUAUUGCACAAUGGGCGCAAGCCUGAUGCAGCGACGCCGCGUGAGGGAUGACGGCCUUCGGGUUGUAAACCUCUUUCACCAGGGACGAAGCGUAAGUGACGGUACCUGGAGAAGAAGCACCGGCCAACUACGUG